RNAcentral lists this ribosomal RNA (630 nucleotides) under uncultured bacterium. RNAcentral's name for it is "bacterial SSU rRNA". It matches the Rfam family "Bacterial small subunit ribosomal RNA", at positions 338 to 951 of the family's 1533-position model. The record is from RNAcentral.
CCUACGGGAGGCAGCAGUGGGGAAGUUUUGGACAAUGGGCGCAAGCCUGAUCCAGCAAUGCCGCGUGAGUGAAGAAGGCCUUCGGGUUGUAAAGCUCUUUUGUCAGGGAAGAAACGGUGGGGGCUAAUAUCCUCCACUAAUGACGGUACCUGAAGAAUAAGCACCGGCUAACUACGUGCCAGCAGCCGCGGUAAUACGUAGGGUGCAAGCGUUAAAUCGGAAUUACUGGGCGUAAAGCGUGCGCAGGCGGUUUUGUAAGUUUGUCGUGAAAUCCCCGGGCUCAACCUGGGAAUGGCGAUGAAGACUGCAAGGCUAGAAUCUGGCAAGAGGGGGGUAGAAUUCCACGUGUAGCAGUGAAAUGCGUAGAGAUGUGGAGGAACACCGAUGGCGAAGGCAGCCCCCUGGGUCAAGAUUGACGCUCAUGCACGAAAGCGUGGGGAGCAAACAGGAUUAGAUACCCUGGUAGUCCACGCCCUAAACGAUGUCUACUAGUUGUACGGGUUUUAAUUAACGUUGGUAACGCAGCUAACGCGUAGAAGUAGACCGCCGUGGGGAGUACGGUCGCAAGAUUAAAACUCGAAAAGGAUUGACCGGNNGAGACGUGCCGACGGACGACGACGAGGGAGGAGG